CGGUAAUUCCAGCUCCAAUAGCGUAUACUAAUGUUGUUGCAGUUAAAAAGCUCGUAGUCGGAUUUCAGUGUUCGCUUAGCUUUCACUUAGUGUCAGUCUUCGCUACACUUCUUUGACGAUAACUUGCAUCGCCUUGAUUGGUGGUGUUUGGACUAUUGUCUCUUUUACUUUGAGAAAAUUAGAGUGUUCAAAGCAGGUUUUCACGCCUGAAUAUUACUCUUGGAAUAAUAACAUAUGACUUUGGUUUUUAUUUGUUGGUGAUUAGAGACCGAAGUAAUGAUUGCCAGGGACGGUUGGGGCCAUUCGUACUGCAAAGCGAGAGGUGAAAUUCUUGGACCUUUGUAUGACGAACUACUGCGAAAGCAUUUGGCUAGGACGUUCCCGUUGAUCAAGAACGAAAGUUGGGGGACCGAAGACGAUCAGAUACCGUCGUAGUCUCAACCAUAAACUAUGCCAGCUAGGGAUUGGUGGAUGUUUCUCUAACGACUCCAUCAGCACCUUAUGAGAAAUCAAAGCAUUUGGGUUCCGGGGGGAGUAUGGUCGCAAGGCUGAAACUUAAAGGAAUUGACGGGAGGGCACCACCAGGAGUGGAGCCUGUGGCUUAAUUUGAUUCAACACGGGAAAACUUACCAGGUCCGGACAUGGGAAGGAUUGACAGAUUGAAAGCUCUUUCUUGAUUCUAUGGGUGGUGGUGCAUGGCCGUUCUUAGUUGGUGGAGUGAUUUGUCUGGUUAAUUCCGUUAACGAACGAGACCUCAGCCUGCUAAAUAGUUGCUGUCUUUUCAAAGGCAUUGCAUACUUCUUAGAGGGACUACUUCGCAAACAAGCAAGCGGAAGCUUGAGGCAAUAACAGGUCUGUGAUGCCCUUAGAUGUUCUGGGCCGCACACGGGCUACACUGGUGUUUUCAACAAGCCUUACUACCUUAACCGAAAGGUUCGGGUAAUCUUUGAAAUAACACCGUGCUUGGGAUAGACUAUUGCAAUUUUUAGUCUUCAACGAGGAAUUCCUAGUAAACGCAAGUCAUCAGCUUGCAUUGAUUACGUCCCUGCCCCUUGUACACACCGCCC
RNAcentral lists this ribosomal RNA (1067 nucleotides) under uncultured Rhizaria. RNAcentral's name for it is "SSU rRNA". It matches the Rfam family "Eukaryotic small subunit ribosomal RNA", at positions 577 to 1674 of the family's 1831-position model. The record is from RNAcentral.